AAUUAAUUUAAAGAAUUUUUUUCGAAUAUUAAAAUUUGACUUGAUUCUUGAUUCGAAUCUUGAUUAUACAACCUAAAAUUAUCAUUCGUAUCUCUACAUUUUCUAAGUAUACAUUAAAUCACGUUAUAGUCCUUAAUUAUAAGUGUGUUAGUAUAUUGUAUAAUACUUUCUAAUUAAUGACUAUAUAAUUAAAAAAUAGCUAAAAUGUAUAUUAUACAAUAUACUGCAUA
This 230-nucleotide unclassified non-coding RNA is filed under the name Hevea brasiliensis (rubber tree). The record is from RNAcentral. Lineage: Eukaryota; Viridiplantae; Streptophyta; Magnoliopsida; Malpighiales; Euphorbiaceae.